UACGUAGGGGGCAAGCGUUGUCCGGAUUUAUUGGGCGUAAGGAGCGUGUAGGCGGCCAGAUAGGUCCGUUGUGAAAACUGGAGGCUUAACCUCCAGCUGUCGAUGGAAACCAUCUGGCUAGAGUCCGGAAGAGGAGAGUGGAAUUCCUGGUGUAGCGGUGAAAUGCGCAGAUAUCAGGAAGAACACCCGUGGCGAAGGCGGCUCUCUGGGACGGUACUGACGCUGAGACGCGAAAGCGUGGGGAGCGAACAGG
Molecule: ribosomal RNA, 253 nt
Filed under: uncultured bacterium
Lineage: Bacteria
Description: partial 16S ribosomal RNA
Rfam family: Bacterial small subunit ribosomal RNA
Source: RNAcentral